GUGAACUGGGGGCCAGUGGCCGCGGUACUACGAGGGGGGCGAGCGUUGUUCGGAUUUACUGGGCGUAAAGGGCGCGCAGGCGGCGGACCAAGGCAGGCGGGAAAGCCCCGGGCUUAACCUGGGAGGUGCGUCUGGGACUGGUUUGCUAGAGUUCGGGAGAGGAGAGUGGAAUUCCCAGUGUAGAGGUGAAAUUCGUAGAUAUUGGGAAGAACACCGGUGGCGAAGGCGGCUCUCUGGACCGAGACUGACGCUGAGGCGCGAAAGCGUGGGGAGCAAACAGGAUUAGAUACCCCAGUAGUC
RNAcentral lists this ribosomal RNA (300 nucleotides) under uncultured Bacillus sp. RNAcentral describes it as "bacterial SSU rRNA". It matches the Rfam family "Bacterial small subunit ribosomal RNA", at positions 496 to 795 of the family's 1533-position model. The record is from RNAcentral. Lineage: Bacteria; Bacillati; Bacillota; Bacilli; Caryophanales; Bacillaceae.